UCCGUAGGUGAACCUGCGGAAGGAUCAUUAAAUAAUUUAGAUGGCCUUUGCUAGUUUUCUAGCGAAUGGUUCAUUCUUUUUUACUGUGAACUGUUUUAAUUUUUCAGCGUCUGAGGAAUGUCUUUUAGCCAUAGGGAUAGGCUACUAGAAUGUUAACCGAGCUGAAAGUCAGGCUUAGGCCUGGUAUCCUAUUAAUUAUUUACCAAAAGAAUUCAGUAUUAUAAUUGUAACAUAAGCGUAAAAAACUUAUAAAACAACUUUUAACAACGGAUCUCUUGGUUCUCGCAUCGAUGAAGAACGUAGCAAAGUGCGAUAACUAGUGUGAAUUGCAUAUUCAGUGAAUCAUCGAGUCUUUGAACGCAACUUGCGCUCAAUGGUAUUCCAUUGAGCACGCCUGUUUCAGUAUCAAAAACACCCCACAUUCAUAAUUUUGUUGUGAAUGGAAAUGAGAGUUUCGGCUUUAUUGCUGAAUUCUUUAAAAUUAUUAGGCCUGAACUAUUGUUCUUUCUGCCUGAACAUUUUUUUAAUAUAAAGGAAUGCUCUAGUAAAAAGACUAUCUCUGGGGCCUCCCAAAUAAAUCAUUCUUAAAUUUGAUCUGAAAUCAGGCGGGAUUACCCGCUGAACUUAAGCAUAUCAAUAAGCGGAGGA
RNAcentral lists this ribosomal RNA (648 nucleotides) under Mucor hiemalis. RNAcentral's name for it is "eukaryotic LSU rRNA". The stretch from base 256 to 408 matches the Rfam family "5.8S ribosomal RNA". The record is from RNAcentral. Lineage: Eukaryota; Fungi; Mucoromycota; Mucoromycetes; Mucorales; Mucoraceae.